This 512-nucleotide long non-coding RNA is filed under the name Rhinopithecus bieti (black snub-nosed monkey). RNAcentral's name for it is "lncRNA (ENSRBIG00000045384.1)". Lineage: Eukaryota; Metazoa; Chordata; Mammalia; Primates; Cercopithecidae. The record is from RNAcentral.
CAGCAAAGCAAAGUGAACAUGGAAACAAAAGAUUCCAACUGACUUCUUUUGGUGACCAUUUGAAGAGCAAAAUAGUAUCUCCUGAAUGAAUGGAUCGAUGGAUGCAAACAUUACUGUUACUGAGGCAGAAGACCUACAUUCGAAUCAACACCUCGCUAUUUAUACUUAAUCCCAAGCAAACCAUAAACUCUCUGUGAAAGACAAUGUAGAAGUAUGAAUGUGAUCUUCUGUCUUCUUAAAACCAGGUGGCUAGACUGGGCAAUUCCUUCGUGGUCUUAUCAGCAGUAUGAUCAAUUUCUCCAUAUGCAAAAGAUUGCAAGAUUUGUCUUCUAGGAAAUGGAGUGUGAGAGUUUAUGGGCCACUCUAUCGUGUUGAGCAACAGAGGGAUUGUUUGAGCUGUAGAGAGCUGAAAAUAUUAGAGAAGAUGGAAAAGAAAGCUGACUUUCUGAGACCACCUGCAAGAGAAGAAACUAAAAAUAAUCAACUUCCUGCAACUAGGUAUCUUGUCUCCC